RNAcentral lists this ribosomal RNA (268 nucleotides) under Tetragnatha sp. Its description in RNAcentral is "partial small subunit ribosomal RNA". It matches the Rfam family "Eukaryotic small subunit ribosomal RNA", at positions 1161 to 1452 of the family's 1831-position model. The record is from RNAcentral. Lineage: Eukaryota; Metazoa; Arthropoda; Arachnida; Araneae; Tetragnathidae.
AGCGCACACAAGAAAUGGGGCCUGCGGCUUAAUUUGACUCAACACGGUGCAACUCACCCGGCCCGGACACAGGAAGGAUUGACAGAUUAAGAGCUCUUUCUUGAUUCUGUGACAGGUGGUGCAUGGCCGUUUCUAGUUGGUGGAGUGAUUUGUCUGCUUUAUUGCGAUAACGAGCGAGACUCUAGCCUACUAAAUAGACUCGGUAUCAUUUACCGUACCGAGGUCUUCUUAGAGGGACAAGCGGUGUUCAGCCGCACGAAACAGAGCA